CCAUGAAGUUGGAUUCGCUAGUAAUCGCGCAUCAGCCAUGGCGCGGUGAAUACGUUCCCGGGCCUUGUACACACCGCCCGUCAAGCCAUGGGACGCCGGGGGUGCCUGAAGUUCGUUACCGUAAGGAUCGACCUAGGGCAAAACUGGUGACUGGGGCUAAGUCGUAACAAGGUACC
This 176-nucleotide ribosomal RNA is filed under the name uncultured bacterium. Its description in RNAcentral is "partial 16S ribosomal RNA". It matches the Rfam family "Bacterial small subunit ribosomal RNA", at positions 1318 to 1500 of the family's 1533-position model. The record is from RNAcentral.